This 490-nucleotide ribosomal RNA is filed under the name uncultured bacterium. Its description in RNAcentral is "partial 16S ribosomal RNA". It matches the Rfam family "Bacterial small subunit ribosomal RNA", at positions 30 to 507 of the family's 1533-position model. The record is from RNAcentral.
AUUGAACGCUGGCGGCAGGCCUAACACAUGCAAGUCGAACGGUAACAGGAAACAGCUUGCUGUUUCGCUGACGAGUGGCGGACGGGUGAGUAAUGUCUGGGAAACUGCCUGAUGGAGGGGGAUAACUACUGGAAACGGUAGCUAAUACCGCAUAACGUCGCAAGACCAAAGAGGGGGACCUUCGGGCCUCUUGCCAUCGGAUGUGCCCAGAUGGGAUUAGCUAGCAGGUGGGGUAACGGCUCACCUAGGCGACGAUCCCUAGCUGGUCUGAGAGGAUGACCAGCCACACUGGAACUGAGACACGGUCCAGACUCCUACGGGAGGCAGCAGUGGGGAAUAUUGCACAAUGGGCGCAAGCCUGAUGCAGCCAUGCCGCGUGUAUGAAGAAGGCCUUCGGGUUGUAAAGUACUUUCAGCGGGGAUGAAGGGAGUAAAGUUAAUACCUUUGCUCAUUGACGUUACCCGCAGAAGAAGCACCGGCUAACUCCGUG